Tympanuchus pallidicinctus (lesser prairie-chicken) is the source of this 132-nucleotide long non-coding RNA. RefSeq lists it as uncharacterized. Lineage: Eukaryota; Metazoa; Chordata; Aves; Galliformes; Phasianidae. The record is from RefSeq and is a predicted model, not a curated record. The transcript has 3 exons.
GGGUUUGGGUCUGAAGGUUUGGGUGUGAAGGUUUGGGUCUGAAGGUUUGGGAAUGGAGGGUUUGGGGUUUGGGUCUGAAGGUUUGGGUUUGAAGGUUUGGGAAUGGAGGGUUUGGGUCUGAAAGGUUUGGGU